AAGACCUCGAGUGCCCCUAAGGCCGAUACGGCCCCAACACGGACCCCGGUGGUGGCUCCGGCGCCGAAAGGCCCGUCGAGCCCCGGGAUGGGCGCGUCGAGUGAGGAUGAAGGGCUGGAGGAGCUCGUGGAACAGCCCUCCACUCCGGACACGUUUGAGGCAGCUAAGGACCUCAUUGCUUUGUCCGUCGAGGGUGCACGCGCUGAGGGUGCUCCGCCGAUGCUGCCGCGCAGAGGCAAGCCGGCGAUGGUGCGCCCAUCACGGUCGCCGUCUUGGCACCGCUCCAGGAACCGGUCCCGGUCGAGCUCCGCCUCGGUGGACUCCCGGUUGCCCUCGGCACAGGAAGCACCGCAGCAGUCGGGCUUCAACAAGCGGUCGGCACCGACUCAGCAACCGAGCAUGAGUCGGCACCGCGAAGCGUCGGCGGUUCGUUACCCAAGGCCGACCAGCCGUAGCCGUUCCCGGUCCCGCGAUCACCGGCACCGUUCCAGGUCCAGGUCGGCGAGGCGCUAUUCCAGGUCUUGGUCGCGGAGGCGCUACUCCCCAAAACCGGACCGGCACCAUCCUAUGGCUCCACCGUGGCCUUCCAGGUCACCGUCCGUGGUCUCGGGGACUGACUCAGACCGGUACGGCGGGUAUGCCCAUAGGUCACAGGCCAGCAGGGACUACGGUCAGUCCCAAUGGGGCCAACCGAGCCAAUGGCCAUUCUGGACACCCUGGGCCUACCACCAGCAAGGGCCCCCAUCGAGGGCCUCGAGAUCCGGGCCAUCCGGGUACCGCUCCCGCUCCCCGCGGCACCGCCCGCCAUCGUAUAGGGAGGCAACGGUCUCUAGACCACCGGAGCGGGAAGGAGUGGAUUCGGCACCGAGUACGGUGCCGUCCCAAUCCCACGCUGCGGGUCAGGCCGCAGAGAAACAACUGGCUGAUGCCGGAUUGCAGGACAAUGAGGAUGGGCAGAAGGCCCCGACCUCUUCCUCCUCGCCAGACGAGGCGGUAGCGGGCACACUGGUGUCCGGCCCUCCCCCGAUUGACCAUCGGGCACACCAAGACCUGCUUCGCCGGGUAGCCCUCAAUCUGGGCUUGCAAGCGGAGGAGACUGUAGAGCAGGACGACCCCAUGGUCGAUAUCCUGAGCCCAGAGGGCCCCUCCAGAGUCGCUCUCCCGAUUAUACGGACAGUACAGUCCAACUAUAAGACGGUGUGGCAAACACCGGCCUCCAGUGCGCCAACUGCAAAAGGCGUGGAGAGGAAAUACUUCCUCUUUCUACACCCGUCCCCCUGUUCGCUGGUGGUCGGCGGUCAACGAAAAAGAGCGGCAUGGCCAGCAAGCUCCUGCCCCCAAGGGCAAGGAAGCUAAGAGAUUGGACUUAUUCGGGAGGAAAGUCUAUUCAUCUGGGGGCCUUCAACUGAGGAUCGCCAAUCAGCAGGCGAUUCUAAACAGGCACAAUUUUAACUCUUGGGCAUCAGUUGCCAAGUUUAAGGACUCCCUCCCACCUGACGCGCAUCAGGAGUUCACGGCCCUGGUGGAUGAGGGAAUGGCAGUGGCCAAGACCUCAUUGCAGGCCGCACUAGACUCAGCCGACGCUGUGGCUAGAACAAUUGCGUCGGGAGUCGUGAUGAGGCGUUCGGCGUGGUUGCAGGCUUCAGGUCUCCCGCCAGAGGUGCAGACCACGCUGCAGGACCUCCCGUUUGAAGGUUCGGGCUUGUUUUCCGACCAGACGGACGCCAGGCUACAUAGCCUUAAGGACUCACGAGCGACCCUUAAGUCGUUGGGUAUGCACACUC
This 1784-nucleotide long non-coding RNA is filed under the name Chrysemys picta bellii (western painted turtle). Its description in RNAcentral is "lncRNA (ENSCPBG00000026613.1)". The record is from RNAcentral. Lineage: Eukaryota; Metazoa; Chordata; Testudines; Emydidae.